AAGGCUGAAAUUCGCCUUCAUGAAGUCGGAAUUGCUAGUAAUGGCAGGUCAGCAUACUGCCGUGAAUACGUUCCCGGGCCUUGUACACACCGCCCGUCACACCAUGAGAGUUGGAGAUACCCGAAGCCUAUGAGCUAACUUUUAGAGGCAGUAGUCGAAGGUAGAAUCAAUGAUUGGGUGAAGUCGUAACAAGGUAAC
RNAcentral lists this ribosomal RNA (198 nucleotides) under uncultured bacterium. RNAcentral's name for it is "partial 16S ribosomal RNA". It matches the Rfam family "Bacterial small subunit ribosomal RNA", at positions 1301 to 1500 of the family's 1533-position model. The record is from RNAcentral.